AGGAUGUUGGGUUAAGUCCCGCAACGAGCGCAACCCCUACGUUUAGUUGCUAACGCGUGAAGGCGAGCACUCUAGACGAACUGCCGUUGACAAAACGGAGGAAGGUGGGAUGACGUCAAAUCAUCAUGCCCCUUAUGUUCUGGGCUACACACGUGCUACAAUGGCCGGUACAGACGGACGCAAAGCCGCGAGGUGGAGCAAAUCCUAAAAAGCCGGUCUCAGUUCGGAUUGCAGGCUGCAAUUCGCCUGCAUGAAGUCGGAAUCGCUAGUAAUCGCAGGUCAGCAUACUGCGGUGAAUACGUUCCCGGGCCUU
This 313-nucleotide ribosomal RNA is filed under the name uncultured Pelotomaculum sp. Its description in RNAcentral is "bacterial SSU rRNA". It matches the Rfam family "Bacterial small subunit ribosomal RNA", at positions 1069 to 1382 of the family's 1533-position model. The record is from RNAcentral. Lineage: Bacteria; Bacillati; Bacillota; Clostridia; Eubacteriales; Desulfotomaculaceae.